Molecule: long non-coding RNA, 472 nt
Filed under: Carica papaya (papaya)
Lineage: Eukaryota; Viridiplantae; Streptophyta; Magnoliopsida; Brassicales; Caricaceae
Description: long non-coding RNA (CPAP_LNC016249)
Source: RNAcentral
UUUAUCCUCUUUUGGAUUCCAAAUUUGAAUAGAAUUUUCUUGAUUUUCAGUAUAGCAAUCACAUGGGGAAAAAUAAAAGGAAAAUAAUUCUUUUUCAGAAACCAACUCUCCUUGCCUAUAUGCCUCACCCGCGCAGGGAAGCUUUCCCAUAUGCGUGCAACCUGUGCUUGUGUGGGUACUCAUACGCGUCACUACCCGCAUGUAUGACUCCCUUCUCCUGCACAAACUCACAUCCUCUACGUGUUAUAUGAUUUUUCCCACGCACUUAGCAUACUCUCAUGCGUGGAGAUUCGGCUUGGAUAUAGGCUAUUCACCUCGCACAUGUGUGCCUUCAUGUGCGCGCCCAAUGGGCCUCCAAGUCCAUGUGUUUGUUUGAGCUUCUUCUCUUUGGCGCAAUCUCCUUAGGUUGAGCCUCUCCUUGAACGUAAGGCUUUAUUGUGGCCUUAGUUUAGACCAAGACUUGGUCCACUUC